GUACACACCGCCNGUCGCUACUACCGAUUGAAUGGCUCAGUGAGGCUUCCGGACCGUUCGGUACAGAUCGGCAACGAUCAGUGCUGGAUGGGAAGUUAUCCAAACUCGGUCAUUUAGAGGAAGUAAAAGUCGUAACAAGGUCUCCGUUGGUGAACCAGCGGAGGGAUCAUU
RNAcentral lists this ribosomal RNA (171 nucleotides) under Bagadiella koalae. Its description in RNAcentral is "partial 18S ribosomal RNA". It matches the Rfam family "Eukaryotic small subunit ribosomal RNA", at positions 1662 to 1830 of the family's 1831-position model. Lineage: Eukaryota; Fungi; Ascomycota; Sordariomycetes; Amphisphaeriales; Clypeophysalosporaceae. The record is from RNAcentral.